AAUCGGCAGGAGGCGGGGGCGGGGAUUAACGGAAGGUCCCGCGUGACGCCCUGGGCCGUUUCCGGCGAGGUUGAGGCAAGGGCGCGGGCAGGGCCGGAGCCAAUCAGGGCCGAGUGCGCGGCGGGGCGACGGGGCCAUUUGCCGGGGCGGUUGUGUGCGCUGGGAGCCGGAUCGUGGGGGCAGCUGCGUGUGCUGACAUGGGGGCAGGAGGAAGAGCAAGAUGAGCCCCGCAUGUCUGCGGGCGCCCAGCUGCAGCGACUCAGGCAGCAGUGGCGCGUGGCCAGACCUGUGCCGAGACCCAGCUUGGGGCAGGCUGAAGGCGAGCACAGCGCUCUGCCGAUACUUUGUGACCAUCACACUCCGUACUCACCAACAGAUUUCUAGAUCAAGAAGUCACAGUCUACUUCCAGUCUGUAUCAGAAACUGACAUACCACUCAGUUUUUGUCGAAUUGCUCAGUUAAGUGAAACAGUGCUGUAUGACCUUUGUAUUUUUAUGCCAGCUUCAUGCCCAAAAGACACAAACAUGUCCUGAAUGUUGCCUAACACAAGAGUGGGGCAGAUAGAAGAUAUUAAUCCGGCAUAAAUGCCAAUACAGUAUUAAUCCAUUAGCACCUUAGAUAUAAAUCUGAACCUGCAGAAUGAGUAAAUAAAAGCAUCAUGUUGCAGUGUUGUAUAAUUUCUAUCUGGUACAGGAAAGCUUAAAUUUAGUGUAAUUUCAAAUUACAUCUGUACCAUAUAUUGCAUGGCAAACUACAGUUUGACAAAAGUGUUUUUUUUGCAUGACAGUGCUGACUUCAGCAGCCCCUAUCCCACACAAGCUUUUUGGCUAGAUUAUUUUUAACUCAGUUUAGUUUCUGUAUCUGGUUUAUCUCGCAGAUCUGUAAACAGUUUAUUGAUAUGGUCAACAGGAGAGAGAAAAAUAAUGAUGGAGAAAGGGCAGGAUGAUGACAUGGAUUUUUAAGUCAGUGCUGUUGCUGCAAGAGGUAUUUGUUAAACUAUACUUACAGUGUAGGCACAUGGCUUAUAAAUCUGUGUGCACAUUUCAUGGCGUAUUGGAGAUAAGCCAUCCAGGUUUAUGUUAUAAUCCCACUCAAACCUGAUUCUGAAGGUGGUCAGAUUCAGAGAAAAGCCUAACUCUGGAAGCCAACUGUCUCCUACAUGAAUUGGCUUGGGUGAGAUAAACUGCAUUUUUGGUUAUACCCUCCCCCCCACUAUGAAUAUCAUUUCCUAGGAAAAAAAAAGAGCAAGGUAGUCCAAACUCAUCCAACAGGACAGAAAGCUCCUUCUACCUCACUUAGUGAAUUAAAACAUAUGCCUGAUUUCUUCUGUGAAAACUCAGAAUGUAGCUUGGUGGGAAAGUGGAUUUCCUGAUUUUUUGCUUUUAUCUUCUAGUAAAAAAUGCGUAGCAUGGUUAUUUAUUUUAAUUAAUCUUGGGCAGCCAUAGAAAGGUUAAAGAGUAAAGAAUGAUAGCUCAUAGUAAGCAGGCCUGUCAUUCCAACAGAAGACUCCAUAUAAAAAUGAAACAACAUCACGAAGCAUAUUCCACAUUCACACAGAAAAAUUUGCUGGCCUUGUCCCAUGAUUUGUUCUAACAGAACUCUCCCAUGUGCAUUUUCAUCACUGCUCCUUCAUUACAGCAAACAGUAGUGGAGUCUCCCAGUGCUUCUUUAACUGUUAGGGAAGAGUGAAUGUUCGGUGACAACUUAACUUUGUCAUUUUUUCUUCCAGUACCUCUUAGCCCUAUGGGGAUUUCUGUUGACGUAAUGCCACAAACAUAAACAGAAUGUUGUGAUUUCAAAUUAAAAGUAAUACUGGUUUCUUGCUUGUCUCUAAAAUUGCAGAAUAGGGAAGGAAUAUGAAAUAUAAGCAGGAUUUUAAAUUUGCAUUUGGCUGCAAGAUAAUUGUUAUCUCAGUUCCAUCAAAAUGGGUCACAUUAACCUUUAGCUUCAGAGGAAAAGACAGAGAGUGUUAUUAGAUCUGGUGUGAUGAUGAGUUAUACAAUUUGAAUGCUACCUGGAGUUCAGGUGCUUGAGAUAUUGCACUGUCAAAAGUACUCCAUUUGUUCCUGCUUUCCUACCCUGCAAAAGUAGUCAAGAUACCUCCUUUUCUGGAGGUAGAUGUCACUGCUUACAGGCCACUACAGACUGUAGCAGUGGUGCCCCUUGUAAUUCACUCGUAGUGCUCUGUUGGUAUGUCACAGUGAUAUGACAGUUUAGUGCAGGAACAAUAAAUGAAUAACCCAUAAUGGAAAGACCAAAGGACCAUCAGACUACAAAACACCUUCAGGACGGUUCAGUUUCUCCACAAUUUUUGGAAACACAAUGACAUGUAAUUCCCAUUCCUAAAUGUACUGGCCUCUACUUUACAAGUCAUUUUAAAAGGCGUUUGGAUUUUUUCUUUUAAAAAGCAAGUGAACAACUAAAUUUUUCAAGCAUUUACCAAAAUACGAGAUCACAGUUAUGUACCUCCCACAUUAUGGAAAUCAUUGCAUCAGAAUAGUGGGAUCACUACUGGCUGUUUCAAAAGGUUUCUGAUGUAAGAAAUGAUCCAUUUAGUAGAAUAUGUGUUUCCAGAGCAGAGAAGAAAAUUUUUAAACCUCCCCACUCAUCAUAAUUGCUUAGAAGCACAAAAAAAGACAAGAAUUUUGUUGCCCUUCCCAUUGUUUUCUUAAAAGCAUCUGCCUCUCUGAACAGAGAAGGCAUCGUCUAGGGAAAUGCAUGGAGGAAAGCUACACCCAUAGCAUUUCCAUUUUGUAAAGAUGGUGAGAAUUUUUGUGCUGCUACUAGACAGCUAUAUGAGACAAAUAAUGAUAGGGCACUUACUUAGCCCAUUUUACUUCUUGGUACAAAACCCACUUAUUAACAGGAAGAAGAAGCAAAUAGUGAAGAAAUAAGAACGAAUUACCUAUUUGCAGACAUUACUGGAAUGUAUUUACAAGUUGAUUAAUCCCCCUUCUCAAGUAAAAGCCUCACUACCAUGAGUAAAAAUUCUUACUGGGUAAAACAACUCCAUUUGGAGACUCUAAGCAGCACCAAACCCCUGGUUUAUUAAAUCUGUUUAAUCCGCUCUCCUCCAGCAUCCAUGCAAUGAAAUUAUAAAUACCCAGUGACACUGAAAAACCUUUUGAAUUCUAUUCCAGUGAAACACAACACAGAAGUCCUAAUUCAGCAAAGCAGUAAUACCUAUGUUUGACUUUGUAUUUUCUGAUCCCAUUAGAACGCCCUGUAUGUCAAGUUCUUCCCUUCAAAGGAAGACCUGUCAGCCUGCCUGACCUAACUGGCCAGACAGAAAAAGCAGUUUUCCAGAGACUAACUUCCUACAAUCUUUGAUGAAACUGACUGUGACCGUGCAGUUUUUCUUUUCCAUAACUCUCCUUCAUAAGCGAAGGGACCUAUUUCAUUUACAGCAGAAACUGUCAAUUCCCCCAAACCUUUAACGAGUAAGACCAGUUGACCACUCAAUGAAAAAUUCCCCUUCAGUAGGAUAUAAAAAACUUCACUCACCAAAUUGUUUUCCAUCAAGCGUUCUGCACAAAUCUCAGUUAUACCUUUGUUUUACAGAUUGGGUUGCCAAGGCUCCUUCUUCACACUAUACUGUUUUGAGUCCUUCAGAUCACUGAACUUUUGCAGUCCUAAUGUAAUAAAUGUAACUGAAAUAUUAGCAAAGAUUCUAAAACUCCUUCCAUUAGCUAACUUCUGUUGACUUCCCUGCAAUCAAAACGCAGCUACUACUUCUUCUUUUUUUUUUUUUUGCAGACACACAAACACACCAUGGGGGGCAGGACCAGUACCUCAACUUGCUCAAAUCCAACACAUGUGACAAAUGCCCCAAAAGAAUAUGGUCCAUAGAAAUGAUUCAUGCAAGAAAAUUUUAAGCUAGUAGUUUUCAGUCUUUAUUUCUGCUCUAAAUAAUUCUUCAAAGUGUGAUGCUGCUAAACUGGUUUAACUGGGCAAAAAUUAAUGGGGGGCUGGUCAGGGACAGUAGGGGCUGUUAGUGUCCUCAGGGCCCUGACACUUAGUACUCAUUCGGUUGUGUGUCACCCCUGGCUUUCUGCACCACAUACUUUUCAAAUCCUGCUCUGAUGAUAGCCAUUUCUCUAUGGCUCUCCCUUGUGCCUUUCCAAGAUUAUGGAAGCAUUUAUUUUUAAACACCUUUCACAGAGGUGAGAGAGAAUUACUCCUGCCUCUCUCUACCCUCAACUUACAGAACAGAAUUGAAAUACAGUGAGAUUACAGUGGGAAGUGUCUAUAUAUUCAGAAUGCCCAUUUAGAGAUGCCAAAGACUAGGUAUUUUAUAAACAUUGUACUGCUUUGGGACACUUCUCCCACUGAUUUGUAGCUGCAAGAAUUCAGCACUUCUGUAAAUUAAAUCACAGUGCCUCAAACCACAUGGCCAUAAAAUGAGGAAUGCACAUCAGCAAUUACAUAAGAAAAGCUUGGGUUUUUUUUGUCCAGCAUCACCCAGCAACUCUGCAACCAAGGCAGGGAGAAUUGUAUAACUGACUCAGCUUAGAAACCAACUUUUCUAUUCCAGAUAUUUUGUUUGCUAUCUCCCUCUCAGCUUUCAAAGAACGUGAUACAGCAACUCUAGGACAGUUUCUUCUGUUACACCUGGUACACGCCGGAGCAAAAUUCUUGGUUGGGGAGGGGAGGCAUAAUUUGCUGACUAUUCUAUAAUGAUUAUGCUAAAAGAGGGGAAAAUGAGGGCUGAAAAGCUGUCUUCAACUGGAGAGCCCUUACCUUUUCAGUUUUUAUAGUUCUCUGUCUAUACCAUUGUCAAAUCAAAUAGCAGCGUGUCCUAGUGAUAGGCACAAUGUUGGAAGGUGUGUGGUGAGGGAGGGAGAAAAUAUGCUGAAGGCAGCUGCCAGGUUAGAUUCGAGCUCUUUACCAGUUUUGGAUGUGCCCUAGGGGAUCACAGCCCUUUUCUUCUGUGAUUUUUUCACGUUUAACAUCUUCUUUUCCAUCUCCUUCAUUCUGCCCCUCUCCUGCCUUCUUCCCAUGCAGGCUCCUUAUUUCCAUUUGUCUCACCUUACUGAUCCCAAUAAAGACUAGCUCUUCAAAUUUCAUGAUUCAGCCCCUUGACCUGCUGUUUCCAGCCCUCUCACUUACCAAACCAGUCUGUAUCUUUCAACUCAGUUCCCAAUGCCUGUGCUGGUUCCCCAAUCCAACACCUUUCAAUCUGACUUCUUGGGCUCCUCAUCCACUCUAAAUCCCAUUCUCCCCAGUCCAGUGGCCCAGUAUCAGUCAGUCUCACUUCUCCCUGGCUCACAGUCAUUUAUAGACUACAAAACCUUGUGAUAGGCUAUGCCCAUCCAUUACUGCUUCCAGAAGCUACAAUUCACUGAACUGCUAGCAAGUAUCCACUUAUUCAAAAUACACUUUGCUUUAAAACUGGCAAGAGAAAGGUAUACAGAGCAAAAAGGAAGCAUUCUGGCAGUCCUGACUAGUCAGAGCUUGGGUGGAAUCUAAGUUCAGCUGAGGCACUGAAAUAAAGAAAUUCUAGAGAAAAUAAUUUCUUCCUGUCACCAGAAUUAGGUAUACUUCCAGUGACUGUUAUCAAGUGACCCAGUAAAAACAAUAUUGUCAUUGCUACCAAGAGGCUUAAUGCUAACUUUGCAAGGCCACAGAACUGGUGGGCUGUUAGGCUUGUUAUCAGCUUGUGUGAAUUUGCUGUGUGAACUGAAGCUGGGUACCAGGUGUCUCUUGUUAUGAUGAGGAGUGUAAGUGUGGGAUAAUAGCAAAGACCUUGAAAAUACGAGUAUAGGCUGAAAACAGAGGCCACAAGACUGUAAACAUCUCACUGAUGGUCAGCUAUUAGUUACUGAAGAAGUACAACCUUAAGAGCUCAGAAAAACUGCUUUACACAUAACAAAGAGAACAAGGAAACAGCAAGCAAGAAAACAGCUGAACAACAGGAUAAAGCACCUAAUGUGGCCUGGGGAAGUUAGCCCCUGUCAGCACUGCACAGCAUAUAGUCCAAGGUGUGGAGGCCAAAGACUGACAGUCUGCUGUGAAACAAAAAUGUGUUAGAAGAGGACCAGAUCUUGACAGUGGAGAAAGAUUACUGCUGGAAAAUAAUCAUCAUCGCUGGAUCACCAGGGAGUUGUUUUGCUGCAUGCAAAGUCAAAGCUCCAAGCACACUGCAUGCUUCAAGGACCGUGACGCUUCAAGGAUCUUCUGUCCUGACAGCCAGUCUCCAGGACUGUGUACAGCAAUAAAAGGGGUGUGUAUGUCUGAGUGCACAGAUUACAUGCACUUCACCUCUCAAGCUCUCUAAUCCCUCAAUAAGGCCUUACUGUAUAUAAAUUCAAUACACCAUGGUCAGGCUUAAACACUUUAAAAAUACACUUUUCCUUACUGUGCAAAAAUAGAAAAAAUCCUCAGAGUAAGAUGGCUGUCCCAUUGAACUAAAAGGCAAAACUCCAACAGAACCAGGAUUUUAGACAUCAUACAGAGGUUCAGAGAGUAUGGUUUUGCAAUUGAUGUUGCUACACCGUCAUCAGAAAUAUAAGAGUCGAAGAUCCCUGAUAUCUGACAUCAUUAAGGAGGUCUUAACCCUACUCAUUUUCUGUGGGAUUUACUGUCUGCAGGAAAGUGACAGUAUCAAGGCCACUAGCUAUUUCUAGGAGGUGGCAAUAUAAAACUGCCUAAGUUGGAACAAUUCUCUCACUGUUCCAAACUUCCUGUAAUUUUAAUGUUUCUUGCUUUUGUGCUUUACAGUAGAAUUGUAACUGCAUAUUCUCUUACCUUCAGUUCUACUGCUUUAAAACAGGAUAAAGAAAACCACAGGGUCUUGCUCUUUUGUCAUUUUAGACCAUAACAGGCAAGGCAGUAUUCUGCCAUCAGAAAAUUAUUGCAAGAGUUAAUUAUUUGUGUUCUGGAGGCAUCUUUUUCCCUCUGCAGGGAAGAGGUAUGUAUCUGUUCUGGAGAGCUGAUAGUAAGCAUUUGUACAGGAAGAACCUAUUGAACCUUGCCAAACAAGUUGGGACUUUGGGCUGCAAACCAUGAUGUUUGACUGAACUAAAGCCUCAUGAGCAAGUUUACUGGAGUGUAAACUAAAAUUUAGUGAGCCUUACCACUUUAGAAGCUUCCUUUAGAAGCCACUCUAAGUAUCCCAAUUAAGAAAUACUUUCUUAAUGAGCUGCUUUUUCAAUCAGCUAAUUUUUGAGGCAAAUGUCAUUAUAGUUAUUCUCAGUAUUUAAUACACAUUCUGUGUUAAGGUAAUUCCAGAGUUGUUCUCUACAACCAAUAAAGUGUAUGAGCUGGUUUCAUAAACAGUUAAUGGAUCAUUACAAUCUGGAAUUCAACAGACUAUUGCAUGGCUUGUAACCCUAUUUAAUUCCUCAAAUGAUAUUAUUAUGGCUCAUUAUGAGGCAUAUUACUAACUUCCCUAAGGCACCUCCAGUUUUUUAUUCUCUUUAUAAACCGUUCAUAAGCAUACAGAACAUACAUUGUGCACUGCACAUAACCCUUUGUGGCAUAAAAAGGGUCUGCAUUAACUUGGAUCUCUUUCCACAACUGUAGUUCAGCACCUACAAAUAAACUAUGCCUGUAUUUGUAUCUA
This is a long non-coding RNA of Dromaius novaehollandiae (emu), 7564 nucleotides long. RefSeq lists it as uncharacterized. Lineage: Eukaryota; Metazoa; Chordata; Aves; Casuariiformes; Dromaiidae. The transcript is spliced from 2 exons. The record is from RefSeq and is a predicted model, not a curated record.